GCCACACUAUAGCUAAGUGGUUAGAGCACUGGUCUUUUAAACCAGGGGUCGUAGUUCAAUCCCUCACUGGUGGCU
This is a non-coding RNA of Araneus ventricosus, 75 nucleotides long. Lineage: Eukaryota; Metazoa; Arthropoda; Arachnida; Araneae; Araneidae. The record is from the annotation of a GenBank genome assembly.